Molecule: ribosomal RNA, 588 nt
Filed under: uncultured bacterium
Lineage: Bacteria
Description: partial 16S ribosomal RNA
Rfam family: Bacterial small subunit ribosomal RNA
Source: RNAcentral
UGGGGAAUUUUGGACAAUGGGCGAAAGCCUGAUCCAGCAAUGCCGCGUGUGUGAAGAAGGCCUUCGGGUUGUAAAGCACUUUUGUCCGGAAAGAAAUCCUUGGCUCUAAUACAGUCGGGGGAUGACGGUACCGGAAGAAUAAGCACCGGCUAACUACGUGCCAGCAGCCGCGGUAAUACGUAGGGUGCAAGCGUUAAUCGGAAUUACUGGGCGUAAAGCGUGCGCAGGCGGUUUGCUAAGACCGAUGUGAAAUCCCCGGGCUCAACCUGGGAACUGCAUUGGUGACUGGCAGGCUAGAGUAUGGCAGAGGGGGGUAGAAUUCCACGUGUAGCAGUGAAAUGCGUAGAGAUGUGGAGGAAUACCGAUGGCGAAGGCAGCCCUCUGGGCCAAUACUGACGCUCAUGCACGAAAAGCGUGGGGAGCAAAACAGGAUUAGAUACCCUGGUAGUCCACGCCCUAAAACGAUGUCAACUAGUUGUUGGGGAUUCAUUUCCUUAGUAACGUAGCUAACGCGUGAAGUUGACCGCCUGGGGAGUACGGUCGCAAGAUUAAAACUCAAAUGAAUUGACGGGGUCAUAGCUGUUUCCU